UUCUACUGCGUUACCGAGUUUCAACUUUUAACCCGAACUCCACCUUCUGUUCUCUCUACUAAAACCCUUUCAUUGCCCUACUGAGGUUCAACCCAAACGCAGCCUACCAUUGCCGCUCGGCCCACAGAGACACAGCCCUGCAACUUCCCUCCUCCUGGCCCAAAGUUCACUCUCUCAUUUUCGCUCUCGCCAUCCAGGAACCCUACUUUCUUCCUCUGGAAGGAGGAUAGCAGGUAAGAAUAGUAUCUCCCCUACUCUCCCCAAUGGAUGGCCCCGGAACCUUUGUCCCCAUCUCUGCCCGACUCCACCCCAAAAAAACCCUAAAAUCCUCACCUGAAUCUAAGUUCUGGUCAUCAUUCAAGACCACGUUCCUAACCUACAACCUCCCUAUCACUUCCAUCAACUUCUGCCCAGAACCCCCUCACGACUUUGUAGUCACCUCCUCCGCGACUCUCUUCACCUUUGAUGGCAUCACCUUCACGCCCAAAUCCACCAUCCGCAAAUUCUCUGACGUUGCAUACUCCGGAACUUUCCGUCCCGAUGGGAAACUGCUUGCUGCUGGCGGAGAGUCUGGCAAUGUCCAAAUCUUCAAUCCCAAGGGAGAUCCCCUUCGCCGCCUCGUGGGCCACGUUCACCCUGUUCAUUAUGUGUCUUAUCCUCACAAUGACAAGCUUCAUAUACUUUCAGGUGGGGAUGAUGGCCUUGUUAAGUGGUGGGAUGUGGCGUCAGAGACUGAGAUUACCACGCUAUCAGGGCAUCGUGACUACAUUCGGUGUGGGUCACCAAGUCCAGCUAGUGAGCACUUGUGGGCAACAGGCUCGUAUGACGACAUGGUGAGGUUGUGGGACCUCAGAAACACGAGCCCUGUCAUGGAGUUGGGUCACGGGAAGCCGGUAGAGGCAGCAGUUUUCCUUCCUUCAGGUGGGUUCUUGGCAACGGCGGGUGGUAAUGUGGUGAAAAUAUGGGACGUCAUUGGUGGGGGAAAGCUAGUCCACACUAUGGAGAGCCAUAAUAAGACUGUGACGUCCCUUUGUGUUGGGAAGGCCUUGGUUCCAGGAGAGAGUGAGCAAUCACGGCUUCUUAGUGUGUCGAUUGAUGGAUACUUGAAGGUCUUUGAUUACAUGUCUUUCAAAGUGGUCCACACUGCAAAGUUCCCAGCUUCUCUACUCUCAGUUGGCAUGUCACCCUCUUCCUCAUGUAGAGUGGCAGGCUCUUCAAAUGGGAGAUUCUUUAUUGGCAAGAGGAAGGGUCAUAAAGUGGAGCCUAAAAAAGAUGGGCCUGAUGAGCUAAUGCUGCCAAUUGAAGGGGUUGGGGAGGAAAACGGGAAGUGGGCCCCGACAAAGCCUUGGCAUCGGGGAUAUUUUCAAAGGGGACAAACUGAGAAACACUCUGAAGGGGACUUGGUUGUGAACCAACCAAAAAGGGUGAGAGUUCCACAGCAUGAUAAGUUGUUGCGAAAAUUUCAUCACAAGGAAGCUUUUGUAUCGGCCUUGAACUCCAAUAACCCGGAGGUUGUGGUGCCUGUGAUGGAGGAAUUAGUGGCAAGGAAGGCCAUGGUGAGGUCUGUUAUGAAUUUGGAUUUGGAGGAACUUGAAUUGCUGAUGAAGUUCUUGGAUAAAUAUGUGACAUUGCCGAGAUACGCAGGGCUCCUAAUGAGGUUUGCUGAGAGGGUGCUUCAGUUGCGUGGGGAGGAUAUUGAAGGUUCAGAGGAGUUGACAUACCAUGUUUUACGAUUGAAAGGUAUGGUAAGCGAAGAGAUUCAAAUACAACGCUCACUCCUGGAGAUACAAGGGAUCAUUUCACCAAUACUGAGAAUGGCUGGGAGAUAGUUCUAUUGUAUGGACAUUAUCAUGACAAGUAAGGGAUGGAAUCGUCUGGUGGCUUUCAGGGCAUGGAAAUCAAGCACAUUAAAGAAAAACUCGCAACACCAUUGAGGAGGGGCAUUUCAUAUCCUAAGUAAUUGUUUGAAUAUUCUAUCGAAGUGAGAAUCUUGGUUCUAUACAAACCAGAGGAAGUGAUGAGGAUCCCACCCAAGUGAGAGAGAGAGAGAGACCCUUUGCUUAGUGGCUGUCAUCAGCUAGGUUUGGUAGAUGUAGAGACGUAGGGGGUAAUAAUUAUGGAAAAUUUAUCAGAACACACUCUAGAGAUUCACCUCGCCAUUGAACAUUUUAUCAUUGCUUUUGUCCUCUCUCCAAGAAGCCCAAAAAAUACACGUCACAAGGGGUCACACUAAUGGAAUGGAAGUUCCUAUUUCGCCCUUCCAAACCUAUGUGAGAUAUUUGUAUUUGGAAUACGAAUCCCUUACUCUAAACGUUCGAGAUUAGUGUUCAUAAAUUCCAAUACCAAUAGCUCAAGAGUGAGUGAGAUAUUGGUGUAAAAACAACAGUAUUUGCACGUGUGGUGGCUUAUUGAGAUAUUGAGGUUAAA
Amborella trichopoda is the source of this 2427-nucleotide RNA transcript. It is a transcript of the gene named transducin family protein / WD-40 repeat family protein, with no coding region annotated. The record is from RefSeq and is a predicted model, not a curated record. Lineage: Eukaryota; Viridiplantae; Streptophyta; Magnoliopsida; Amborellales; Amborellaceae.